AUGACUGCCACCAUCCGCCGGCAGGUUACUGCCCCAGGCGUGCAGCCGCCGGGGUAAAGAAAUUGUGUCAUUACAGUUACGGGUGCCACCUGCAGUUGAGAGCAUUUUUCUGUCAGAGCAUUAAGCAGCGAAACUAAUUCAAGGCUGUGGAAAAGGAAAUGCUUCCUAGAGCAGCUUAAGAUGAACUGCUUUGGUCAAGGACAUGAGUGGAGGAUAGU
RNAcentral lists this long non-coding RNA (218 nucleotides) under Astyanax mexicanus (Mexican tetra). RNAcentral describes it as "lncRNA (ENSAMXG00005016843.1)". Lineage: Eukaryota; Metazoa; Chordata; Actinopteri; Characiformes; Acestrorhamphidae. The record is from RNAcentral.